GAUUCAAACACUCAGCCGCUACCCCUUUUUUCCCCUCAGCACCAUAAUCCUCACCAUCAUCCUUACACACACAAAAAUGCACCCACACUCACGGAGAAGAGAGAGAGCAGAGAAGAAAAAGACGGAGACGCCGCCGAUGAGUGUCACUGCUACCGCUGCCGUCGACACUGCUGCAGAAAGGAGAAGAUGAGGACGACGUGACAAGGGGAGAGAGUAAGAGAGAGAUAGACAGAGAGAGAGAGAGAACGUGUCGUCGCGUCUCGUUGCCGCCAGUGCCAUCAAGCCUUGUCACCAUGUACAUUACCGCCCCCUGGAGUCGUGGAGUUUGUUGCCAUUGUUGAGAGAGAGGAGAGAGCUCGAGAGAGGGAGGCAGAACGCGAGGAAGCCGCCAUUGUCACCGUCGUUAGAAGCUGCCACCAUCACUAUUGUGGGUGUAGGGGACCGUCGCCUUCAUGGUGGGGUUAGACCCGUCACUGAACUAGGCUGAGGGAAAAGAAGACGCAAUGGAAGGGGAGCCGUUCACCACCGCCGUCGCUGCAGCUACGUUACCGCACCUCUGUCGCAGAAAAAUGACAUUGUCCUCGUCGAGAAACGCUAUUGGAGUCAGCCAUUGGAGCCGCAAUUACUCUGAUCUUUGUUUCUUCUUGGUACAUUGCUGUUGUUGUUGUGGAAGCGUAGUAGAGCUGUGGUUGCGGCUGCCGCUGUUGCAGGCUAGCAGAAAGAGGAUUUUGUCACAUACCCGAGUCGCAAUCGAGGGAGGCUGAGUUUGGACAUACAGUAGAGUUAAGAGAUUUCAUCUUCGACAAUAUCUUACUCUCUGUAUUUAUAGAGUGUUGGAGACCAAAGACCCAUACUUUCCACCUUUCGUAGGGUGAGGUCACCAUUACAUUCCAGGAUGUGGCAUAUCAUAUUGGAUUGCGCACAAAUGAUGACUCGAUAGGCGACUGCACUAGAGAUUUUCAGCAAUUUCAUAGACACCCCACAUGGUAGUGGGUUGUAAAUUUGCUCAAUGAUAAGCCAACACCCCAGUCCGAGGGCUAAUGAGGCUACUCUCCUCCAGUAUACCAGAUGUUACUUACUUAUGUUGACCGGGAGAUACUUGUUUACAGACAAGUCAACCAACCUUGUCCCUCUCAGACAGCUACCGCUUCUGGAGGACUUUGAUAGUUGCAUACAGUUGUCAUGGGGUUCUGAAAUGCUGUCUCACACCUAUUAUUCAUUGUGCAGCGCUGCCUGACAGGAUAUGAUGGAUAUUAUCGAGUACAUACCGUUAGUUAUGUCGUGGAUCUACCACAGGUUCCCGACUUUCUGUCUUGUCGGAUACGACAUUCUCAGACUUUCUCUUGCUUGGAGGUUGGUAGGACAACCAUUAUGACAGAGGCCUUAGAUUGCGGCGCAGGAUGGAUGCCUUGAGUUUUGGUGGACACUGUACAAUGAUCCCUAACUACUACAGAUGACACCCGACAAGAUUGGUCUACCAUGUACAUCAAACAUUAUACUGAUGUGCUUAUCUUCUUCAACCCAAAACGUCCUAUUUUUUUAAAACCUCCACUAGACAGCGCUGAUAUGAAUCUAUAUGCUACUCGGCUAACCUCCUUCGAGCCGAUUAAUUGCUCCCAUAUUGAUCUAGAUAACAUUCUUAAGCACAUCUAGAGAAUCAACACAGAAGUGUGCAGUAUCAUAAUUAAAUUGCACUCAAAUAUUACUCCCUCAUCACUAUUUUUCAUGAUUCCAUUAGGAUAAACUACUAAAAAAAAACUGAUUACUAGCCAUUUUUUUUGAAAAAGAAAGAAAGAAAGAAUAGAUAGCAUAAAGAUGAAUGUAGAAUAGAUUGCACACGAAGUUGCAUAUAUAGAUAUUUUCGUAUCUAGAGUUCAGAGAUCCCUAUUUAUUUAAGCACGUACCCCGAGGACAGUGCCACCAUACUUAUUAUGGAUGUAUCUCGAGUACAGUGCCAUAAAAUUUCUUAAGGCUCUAUCCGAAUGCAAUGCACCCGACUUGUGCACGUAUUUUAAUAUUGCUUGUAUCCUAGGUAUA
Molecule: RNA transcript, 2037 nt
Organism: Arachis duranensis
Lineage: Eukaryota; Viridiplantae; Streptophyta; Magnoliopsida; Fabales; Fabaceae
Exons: 5
Source: RefSeq, a predicted model, not a curated record